AAACCCUUAUUUUUAUACAUCCGCUAUCAUAAUACAUAAAGUCUUGCUUGAGAAUGCUUCGAGCACCUAGCUGUGGAAGGUAGAAUAGAAAUUGCAACAACAAACUUUUAAUUCUAAUAAAACACUAACAAUGCUAAAUAAGCUUUAAUCAAAUUUAGAGAUACCUCAAAGGAAUUCUAAAGAAAUAGUAAGAAAUCUUAAAGAAAUAUUAGAAUGAUUACAAACAUAUUUCAAAUAUAUCUCAAUUCAAUCUUAAUAUAAUCAUAGUUGAAAUCUUACUUCAUUCAAAUUUAAGGCCAAAAACUAACUAAAUCUUAAAUCCUAAACAAAUUUAAAUAAAAUCCUAAAUCCUAAAUCAAAUCCUGAUCAAAUACUAAUCAAAUCUUAAACCCUAAAUCAAACCCCAAAUCCUAAAUCAAAUCCUAAAUUAUAAAUCAAAUCCUAAUCAAACCUUGAACUCAAAAUCAAAUCCUAAUCCUAAAUCAAAUCCUAAUCAAAUUCUAAUCUCAAAUCAAAUCCUAAAUCUUAAACCAAAUCCUAAUCUUAAUUCAAACCUUAACCAAAUUCUAACCAAAUCCUAACCCUAAAUCAAACCUUAAUCAAAUUCUAAUCAAAUCUUAAUCCUAAAUCAAACCCUAACUAAACUCUAAAUCCUAAACCAAACCCUAACUAAAUCCUAAUCAAAUCCUAACUCUAAAUCAAAUCCUAACCAAAUCCUAACCCUAAAUCAAAUCUUAACCAAAUUCUAAUUCUCAUCCUAAAUCCUAAAUCAAACACUAACCUAAUGCUAACCCUAAAUCAAACCCUAACCAAAUCCUAAUCUUAAAUCAAAUCCUAAUCAAACCCUAGUAAUUUCUACAACAAAAUUAAACCUCAAUAACUAAUGAAUGAACUGUUGAUCUUAACUCAAAU
Molecule: long non-coding RNA, 912 nt
Filed under: Physcomitrium patens
Lineage: Eukaryota; Viridiplantae; Streptophyta; Bryopsida; Funariales; Funariaceae
Description: long non-coding RNA (PPAT_LNC009983)
Source: RNAcentral